This 1684-nucleotide long non-coding RNA is filed under the name Homo sapiens (human). RNAcentral describes it as "HSALNT0082120". Lineage: Eukaryota; Metazoa; Chordata; Mammalia; Primates; Hominidae. The record is from RNAcentral.
GUAGAUUAUUGAUAAAUCAGAACUAUUACUUGAUUAGUUUGUUCUCUUCUUUGUGAAUUACAGCAGGAAAUAGUAUUUUAAAAGCAUAUUAGUAUACUUCUAUCCAUUCUUCAAAAUCUGGGUUAAAAAUGUUUCUUGUGAUAUCACUGCUGAAGAAAAUAUCACUUUGAAAUAUUACUUUUUUAAAGUUCAGUUUCUGAGUCCUACUUUUAAUACUUGAAGACACAAUGACAAUUUUAAAUUUUUUAUUUAUAUAUUUUCUAGUAUAUUAGGAUGAGUAAGAAUUAAUUAAAAUAUUAGAGGCUGUAGGGUCUAAAAUAGUUAUUAAGGACAAUAUGGAAAGACCAUCUUUCAGAAGGCUGAAAUUGAAAAGGAAGCAAUUCCAGCUGUGCAGUUGGAGAGUAAAUGGCCUGUGAAGUAACUGAACCAAGUUCCUCAACAUCUUAAGGUGAGGGCAUUUUCAAAUUGUGAAAAAUCCUUAUUAUGAAAUUAGAGUUUUAUUACAUGAAUCUUUUGAUCAGUUGUCAUCUUGGGAAGACUAACUUCAAUAAUUGGUCUGGAGAGAGGAUGGGGCAAAAACUUACAUGGGGAAUUCUAUAGCCUCUGUGUGAGGAAGAGGUUAGAGAUAAAAAUGGUGUUUUUACUUAAAAAAAAAAAAAAAAGAAAAAGAAAGGAGCAACAUGCAUGUUCAGUCCUGAUUGCUUUCUGGAUCUUGCUAAAGCUGCUAGAACAUUUCCUGUGUUAUCGAUUUUGUAUAUUACCUCAGUUCACCUCUGCUGACAGCAGUUGGUUUAGCUGCACUGGGAUUCAUCCAAUAUUCCCAACCGUGAUGUUAAUUCUAUGGCAAAGUAAAUAAAAGCUCUGUUCUGACGUCAUAAUCGCUGAGUUGGAACCUGGCUUUGCCACAGGCAUGCCUUCACAGAAGUCACUUAACUAAGUCUAGGUUCCUCAUCUGUGAACUGAGAAAACUAAAAGCACUGAUUCCAUGGGGUGCUGUGAGUAUUAAGUCCAUGGAAGGUUCUCAGGGGGUGCCUUCCCGGAGCAAAAUAUGCAUGUAACAAAUAUCAGCCAUCAUUAUUUCUACUAAAGCACUGAAAGAAACACAACUAAAAGACCUAAAACACAGCUUUAUAUUUUAUAGUGAUUUUGGGGGGGCAUGCCAUAGGAAAUGAUUUGAUAUCUGUAGAUUUUAAAGUCAAAAUGUUUCAUGGCUAAUUGAGAAAAAUCUUGGGCUCUUUAAGAUUAGUGUGAGGUUUAGAGAUAAUAAAUGUAAAGCAUGUGACAUAGUGCCUGACAGAUACUCAGUAAGUUGUAGGAGGUUCUAUUAUUACCAAUAUCAUCAUGAUUCAUACAUUUCUUUUCUCUCCACUUUGGCUUGACAUGUGGAUACAUGAGGCCAGUAGGAAGAAGUCACCCAUGACUAUCUGGAACAACAUUGUGGGGAAGGCCAAGUUUCUGUGGUGACGUGUGGCAAAUGGAUUGUAAAUGAAGAUAGACUGUGUAAUGAAUGACGACACUAAAGACUAAUGUGAAGGACUUUAGGGAAAACAAAAGGCUUUCAUCUGAAAGGAUGAUCUGUGGACCAAGGUCACUCAUACCACUCACUGCUCAUUUUCUCAUGUUAUUUUAAAACUUUUUUCGGCCUUUAUACUGCUUUCAGCAGCAUUUGUGUGUAAGAAGUGGA